AAGCUAUUUGAAUAUGAUAUUUAUCUGAAUAUAAAUUUAUUUUUUCAAAUAUAUCUAACAGGGUAUGAAGUGAAGCUAUCAACUAGAAAUUGAAAGCAUCUUAUUACAGAAAAUCCUAUAGCUUGGUGAUUUGAAUGUUCAGCUGGCAGGAAAUGUGAAUCAAGCCUUCUGACCCAGCAAGCAGCACUGAAUCCAGUUCUAUCUAAGAUAAUUUUUCAGAGCUGUCAGGCAGAGUACAACUGCAGCAGUCCAAACCCACAAAGGACCACAAGCUAAAACUGGCUCUCACAUCAUAUGGUUUAGGCAUUUGGCUGCAGGUUGCCCUUUCUUUCCCCCUGUGAGCAACUGAAAUCAACAGAAAGAUUUACAGAGGUGCAAAGCCAUGAAGAUCCAAAAGCAACAGUUUGUCUGAGCAAGUAUAUGUGGUUUAGGAUGGGCUUUUGCAAGUAUCUAUGCCCUGGUCCCCAUGGGUUUGCCUACACUGCAGUAUGCAAGUACACAGCUGCACAUCCAUCCCUUAGGAAAUCACCCAGAGUCAAUCAGAGCAAAUGAGAAACCUCUAAAAAGAACUUCUUUAAACUUCUUUAUUUGGAAUGAUUUUUGUUGUUUUGUUUUGUUUUGUUUUCGAUUUUUGUUCACC
RNAcentral lists this long non-coding RNA (640 nucleotides) under Coturnix japonica (Japanese quail). RNAcentral's name for it is "lncRNA (ENSCJPG00005009675.1)". The record is from RNAcentral. Lineage: Eukaryota; Metazoa; Chordata; Aves; Galliformes; Phasianidae.